Molecule: ribosomal RNA, 465 nt
Filed under: Vreelandella stevensii
Lineage: Bacteria; Pseudomonadati; Pseudomonadota; Gammaproteobacteria; Oceanospirillales; Halomonadaceae
Description: partial 16S ribosomal RNA
Rfam family: Bacterial small subunit ribosomal RNA
Source: RNAcentral
CCUACGGGGUGCAGCAGUGGGGAAUAUUGGACAAUGGGCGAAAGCCUGAUCCAGCCAUGCCGCGUGUGUGAAGAAGGCCUUCGGGUUGUAAAGCACUUUCAGUGGGGAAGAAAGCCUUGGGGCUAAUACCCUCGAGGAAGGACAUCACCCCCAGAAGAAGCACCGGCUAACUCCGUGCCAGCAGCCGCGGUAAUCCGGAGGGUGCGAGCGUUAAUCGGAAUUACUGGGCGUAAAGCGCGCGUAGGCGGUCUGAUAAGCCGGUUGUGAAAGCCCCGGGCUCAACCUGGGAACGGCAUCCGGAACGGUCAGGCUAGAGUGCAGGAGAGGAGGGUAGAAUUCCCGGUGUAGCGGUGAAAUGCGUAGAGAUCGGGAGGAAUACCAGUGGCGAAGGCGGCCUUCUGGACUGACACUGACGCUGAGGUGCGAAAGCGUGGGUAGCAAACAGGAUUAGAUACCCCUGUAGUC